UGGGGAAUCUUGCACAAUGGGCGAAAGCCUGAUGCAGCAACGCCGCGUGCGGGAAGACAGCCCUAGGGUUGUAAACCGCUUUCAGCAGGGAAGAAACUGACGGUACCUGCAGAAGAAGAUGCGGCCAACUACGUGCCAGCAGCCGCGGUGACACGUAGGCAUCAAGCGUUAUCCGGAUUUAUUGGGCGUAAAGAGCUCGUAGGCGGUUCGGUAAGUCGGGUGUGAAACUCUGGGCUCAACCCAGAGAGGCCACUCGAUACUGCUGUGACUAGAGUGCGGUAGGGGAGCGGGGAAUUCCUGGUGUAGCGGUGAAAUGCGCAGAUAUCAGGAGGAACACCAGUGGCGAAGGCGCCGCUCUGGGCCGUAACUGACGCUGAGGAGCGAAAGCAUGGGUAGCAAACAGGAUUAGAUACCCUGGUAGUCCAUGCCGUAAACGUUGGGCACUAGGUGUGGGUCUCAACCGAACGAGAUCCGCGCCGUCGCUAACGCAUU
RNAcentral lists this ribosomal RNA (492 nucleotides) under uncultured bacterium. RNAcentral's name for it is "bacterial SSU rRNA". It matches the Rfam family "Bacterial small subunit ribosomal RNA", at positions 355 to 861 of the family's 1533-position model. The record is from RNAcentral.